GUGGGGAAUAUUGGACAAUGGGCGAAAGCCUGAUCCAGCCAUGCCGCGUGUGUGAAGAAGGUCUUCGGAUUGUAAAGCACUUUAAGUUGGGAGGAAGGGCAGUAAGUUAAUACCUUGCUGUUUUGACGUUACCAACAGAAUAAGCACCGGCUAACUUCGUGCCAGCAGCCGCGGUAAUACGAAGGGUGCAAGCGUUAAUCGGAAUUACUGGGCGUAAAGCGCGCGUCGGUGGUUUUGUAAGUUGGAGGUGAAAUCCACGGGCUCAACCUGGGAAAGGCGUCCAAAACUGCAUGAAUAAAGUACGGUAGAGAGUAGUGGAAUUUCCUGUGUAGCGGUGAAAUGCGUAGAUAUAGGAAGGAACACCAGUGGGGAAGGCGACUACCUGGACUGAUACUGACACUGAGGUGCGAAAGCGUGGGGAGCAAACAGGAUUAGAAACCCGAGUAGUCC
RNAcentral lists this ribosomal RNA (450 nucleotides) under uncultured bacterium. RNAcentral describes it as "bacterial SSU rRNA". It matches the Rfam family "Bacterial small subunit ribosomal RNA", at positions 354 to 796 of the family's 1533-position model. The record is from RNAcentral.